Long non-coding RNA from Poecilia latipinna (sailfin molly), 487 nucleotides. RefSeq lists it as uncharacterized. The record is from RefSeq and is a predicted model, not a curated record. NCBI's taxonomy places the organism in Eukaryota, Metazoa, Chordata, Actinopteri, Cyprinodontiformes, Poeciliidae. The transcript has 3 exons.
AAAACCUUUAGUUUUUAAUAAAAACGACAUUUAAAAUGUACAAAUGAUGAAUUCUAAAAUCACCAACAUUUACAGGAAAUCAGAGCAAAAACAAACAUCAGCAGGAACUUCUGUAGAACCCAGCUCCUACAGAACUGGACCAGAACAUGAACCAGAUCAGAACCACCAAGUGGGUCAAGAUCUGGAGUUCUGAUUCCAAACAUUUCAGCUUCUGAAUGUUGAAACUUUGAGUUGGAAAGUUUUUCCCUCCCGGUUUAAGAGUUUUACUGGAUCGAUGGACCAGACCAAUUAAAGUUCUGGUCCAGAUUCUCCCUCAAGAACUUCUCUGACAACGCUGUUACCAUGGAAACAACGGUAGGAGAGGCUUUGAUUGGUCCGGCAGAAACAGGAAGUUUAAUUAUUAAUGAUUAAUGUUUUCACAGACUGGAGUGGAACACCGGUUACCAGUUACUGGUACCCUGAUGGGAUUAGUUACUGGUUCCCAGAU